RNAcentral lists this ribosomal RNA (433 nucleotides) under uncultured bacterium. Its description in RNAcentral is "partial 16S ribosomal RNA". It matches the Rfam family "Bacterial small subunit ribosomal RNA", at positions 29 to 507 of the family's 1533-position model. The record is from RNAcentral.
AACGAACGCUGGCGGCAUGCCUAACACAUGCAAGUCGAACGAGACCUUCGGGUCUAGUGGCGCACGGGUGCGUCACGCGUGGGAACCUGCCCUUAGGUUCGGAAUAACUCCCCGACAGGGGUGCUAAUACCGGAUAAUGUCUUCGGACCAAAGAUUUAUCGCCUUUGGAUGGGCCCGCGUUGGAUUAGCUAGUUGGUAGGGUAAAAGCCUACCAAGGCGACGAUCCAUAGCUGGUCUGAGAGGAUAAUCAGCCACACUGGGACUGAGACACGGCCCAGACUCCUACGGGAGGCAGCAGUGGGGAAUAUUGGACAAUGGGCGAAAGCCUGAUCCAGCAAUGCCGCGUGAGUGAUGAAGGCCUGAGGGUUGUAAAGCUCUUUUACCCGGGAUGAUAAUGACAGUACCGGGAGAAUAAGCUCCGGCUAACUCCGUG